AGAUUUAGCUUCAGUAGGUGACCUGCGGAGGAUCAUUA
Molecule: ribosomal RNA, 38 nt
Filed under: uncultured Tylospora
Lineage: Eukaryota; Fungi; Basidiomycota; Agaricomycetes; Atheliales; Atheliaceae
Description: partial 18S ribosomal RNA
Source: RNAcentral